Molecule: transfer RNA, 72 nt
Filed under: Crassvirales sp.
Lineage: Duplodnaviria; Heunggongvirae; Uroviricota; Caudoviricetes; Crassvirales
Description: tRNA-Met
Rfam family: tRNA
About the family: Transfer RNA (tRNA) molecules are approximately 80 nucleotides in length.
Source: RNAcentral
UGCGGUUUAGAGGAGAGGUUCCCUUGUUGGUCUCAUAAGCCAAAGACACUGGUUCGAAUCCAGUAGCCGCAA